GUCGAACGAUGACGGCCGUGCUUGCACGGUCUGAUUAGUGGCGAACGGGUGAGUAACACGUGAGUAACCUGCCCUCCACUUCGGGAUAACCUCGGGAAAUCGUGGCUAAUACCGGAUAUGAGCACUCAUCGCAUGGUGGGUGUUGGAAAGAUUUAUCGGCGGGGGAUGGACUCGCGGCCUAUCAGUUUGUUGGUGAGGUGAUGGCUCACCAAGACGAUGACGGGUAGCCGGCCUGAGAGGGCGACCGGCCACACUGGGACUGAGAUACGGCCCAGACUCCAACGGGAGGCAGCAGUGGGGAAUAUUGCACAAUGGGCGGAAGCCUGAUGCAGCGACGCCGCGUGAGGGAUGACGGCCUUCGGGUUGUAAACCUCCUUCAGUAGGGAAGAAGCGAAAGUGACGGUACCUGCAGAUGAAGCGCCGGCUAACUACGUGCCAGCAGCCGCGGUAAUACGUGGGGCGCAAGCGUUGUCCGGAAUUAUUGGGCGUAAAGAGCUUGUAGGUGGCUUGUCGCGUCUGCCGUGAAAACCCGAGGCUCAACCUCGGGCGUGCGGUGGGUACGGGCAGGCUAGAGUGUGGUAGGGGA
RNAcentral lists this ribosomal RNA (586 nucleotides) under Brachybacterium sp. o6-t7p. Its description in RNAcentral is "bacterial SSU rRNA". It matches the Rfam family "Bacterial small subunit ribosomal RNA", at positions 61 to 658 of the family's 1533-position model. Lineage: Bacteria; Bacillati; Actinomycetota; Actinomycetes; Micrococcales; Dermabacteraceae. The record is from RNAcentral.